CACGUAGUUAGCCGGAGCUUCCUCCUCUGCUACCGUCAUCAUCUUCACAGAGGACAGAGGUUUACAAUCCGAAAACCGUCUUCCCUCACGCGGCGUUGCUGGUUCAGGGUUUCCCCCAUUGACCAAUAUCCCUUACUGCUGCCUCCCGUAGGAGUCUGGGCCGUGUCUCAGUCCCAAUGUCGCCGUCCAACCUCUCAGUCCGGCUACCGAUCGUCGGCUUGGUGGGCCGUUACCCCACCAACUACCUAAUCGGACGCGAGCCCAUCUUUCAGCGGAUUGCUCCUUUGAUUAUCCUACCAUGCGAUAAGAUAAUGUCAUGCGGUAUUAGCGUUCGUUUCCAAACGUUAUCCCCCUCUGAAAGGCAGGUUGCUCACGCGUUACUCACCCGUCCGCCACUAAGAUAUCCAAGAUUCAUUACCGAAGUACUUCAUCAGCGAAUAUCUACGUUCGACUUGCAUGUAUUAGGCACGCCGCAGCGUUCGUCUGACGCCAGGACUACAAACUACUCUACG
RNAcentral lists this ribosomal RNA (512 nucleotides) under uncultured Oscillospiraceae bacterium. RNAcentral describes it as "partial 16S ribosomal RNA". The record is from RNAcentral. Lineage: Bacteria; Bacillati; Bacillota; Clostridia; Eubacteriales; Oscillospiraceae.